AUUGAUUGCCACUUUGCAUUACUUAUGCAGAAUUAAUGGUGGCUUUUGACAUGUUCUAGAUAAUUCCUCUCUUCGGGUUUGAUAUGCAUAUUAAGAGGAUAAAUUGUACAUGUGAUCUUGGGCAAAAUUCAGGGCUGUAGGACAUAAGAAGAGCUUCCAUUUUCUAGCUUUUCAUCCUGUAUUUCUUUCAUAGGUCAUCAAACACAGGCAUGCCAGAAUUCUGGAAAACAAAGUAAAUGGAUAUUUGUUUUUUCUCCCUCAGCCAAGACCAUCCUCAAGGAGGUUAAUGAAUGUGGCACCACAGGAAAAAUAUGCAUCAACAUUGAAAAGUAAGAUGAAUUAUUUUACCUGGUAGUAUUUUUUUUGUUAAUUAUACUUUAUUUGUUUACAUUAAUAUCCUUAUGUUGUCAGAGGUGCAUUAAGACAAUAACAGUUUUGCUCCGAAGAAAAAGUCAUUGGUGCUUUCUCCUGGAAUAUUUUCCUAUGACCUUAGUUCUCUAGAGAAGCUUGUGUGGUGAGCCUGUAGUAAUGAGAUUUGAGAGGUAAUGGGAAUGGAAUGUGAAACAAGGGAAGAGUAGGGUACCGAAGAUUCAUAAUCUGAAAAUUUUGCUUUGAACUAGCUGGGACCAGAGUAUCUACACAUAAGGUCACACCAAUUAAUUCUGAAUUUACCAAGAGUUGUUUUACAUACUGCAAAGUUUAGAAUAAUAAUAUAUAUAUAUAUAAAUAAUUUUAUUUUUACAAUGGUAUGCUUCUUUUCAAGUGUCUGCUUUUUAGAGACUUGAGUCAAUAACAAAUUAGAAAAAGUGACCUGACUUCUAAUUUUUCAAUUCUGAAAUAUUCCUAUUGUGAUGAUUAUUUUUAUGGGGUAAAAGGGAACUGAGAUCUAACCUUCUCAAUCCUAGAUAGAUUUUAAAAUCAUUUGAAGAAAUUCAAUAAUUAUUCAUGCUAAGAUUUUACUGAAAACCA
RNAcentral lists this long non-coding RNA (969 nucleotides) under Macaca mulatta (Rhesus monkey). RNAcentral describes it as "lncRNA (ENSMMUG00000049866.1)". Lineage: Eukaryota; Metazoa; Chordata; Mammalia; Primates; Cercopithecidae. The record is from RNAcentral.